CAGCAGCCACGGGAAUACGUAGGGUGCGAGCGUUAAUCGGAAUUACUGGGCGUAAAGCGUGCGCAGGCGGUUUGUUAAGACAGAUGUGAAAUCCCCGGGCUUAACCUGGGAACUGCAUUUGUGACUGGCCGGCUAGAGUAUGGCAGAGGGAGGUGGAAUUCCACGUGUAGCAGUGAAAUGCGUAGAUAUGUGGAGGAACACCGAUGGCGAAGGCAGCCUCCCGGGCCAAUACUGACGCUCAUGCACGAAAGCGUGGGGAGCAAACAGGAUUAGAUACCCCCGUAGUCCCUGUCUCUUAUAC
Molecule: ribosomal RNA, 301 nt
Filed under: uncultured bacterium
Lineage: Bacteria
Description: partial 16S ribosomal RNA
Rfam family: Bacterial small subunit ribosomal RNA
Source: RNAcentral